AUUGAACGCUGGCGGCAUGCCUUACACAUGCAAGUCGAACGGCAGCACGGGGGCAACCCUGGUGGCGAGUGGCGAACGGGUGAGUAAUGCAUCGGAACGUGCCCAGUAGUGGGGGAUAACUAGUCGAAAGAUUAGCUAAUACCGCAUACGACCUAUGGGUGAAAGCGGGGGACCUUUACCGGCCUCGUGCUAUCGGAGCGGCCGAUGUCUGAUUAGCUAGUUGGCGGGGAAGAGCCCACCAAGGCGACGAUCAGUAGCUGGUCUGAGAGGACGACCAGCCACACUGGGACUGAGACACGGCCCAGACUCCUACGGGAGGCAGCAGUGGGGUAAUUUUGGACAAUGGGCGCAAGCCUGAUCCAGCCAUGCCGCGUG
RNAcentral lists this ribosomal RNA (375 nucleotides) under uncultured bacterium. RNAcentral describes it as "bacterial SSU rRNA". It matches the Rfam family "Bacterial small subunit ribosomal RNA", at positions 30 to 403 of the family's 1533-position model. The record is from RNAcentral.